UACGAAGGGGGCAAGCGUUGUUCGGAAUUACUGGGCGUAAAGGGCGCGUAGGCGGCUUAUCAAGUCAGGCGUGAAAUUCCCGGGCUCAACCUGGGGGCUGCGCUUGAUACUGAUUGGCUUGAAUGCGGGAGAGGAUAGUGGAAUUCCCAGUGUAGAGGUGAAAUUCGUAGAUAUUGGGAAGAACACCAGUGGCGAAGGCGGCUUACUGGUCCGGUUCUGACGCUGAGGCGCGAAAGCGUGGGGAGCAAACAGG
This 253-nucleotide ribosomal RNA is filed under the name uncultured bacterium. Its description in RNAcentral is "partial 16S ribosomal RNA". It matches the Rfam family "Bacterial small subunit ribosomal RNA", at positions 524 to 776 of the family's 1533-position model. The record is from RNAcentral.